This 498-nucleotide ribosomal RNA is filed under the name uncultured bacterium. Its description in RNAcentral is "partial 16S ribosomal RNA". It matches the Rfam family "Bacterial small subunit ribosomal RNA", at positions 28 to 507 of the family's 1533-position model. The record is from RNAcentral.
GACGAACGCUGGCGGCGUGCCUAAUACAUGCAAGUCGAACGAGAGCAACCGGUGCUUGCACUGGUCAAUCUAGUGGCGAACGGGUGAGUAACACGUGGGUAACCUGCCCAUCAGAGGGGGAUAAAAUCCGGAAACGGAUGCUAAAACCGCAUAGGUCUUCGAACCGCAUGGUUUGAAGAGGAAAAGAGGCGCAAGCUUCUGCUGAUGGAUGGACCCGCGGUGCAUUAGCUAGUUGGUGAGGUAACGGCUCACCAAGGCCGUGAUGCAUAGCCGACCUGAGAGGGUGAUCGGCCACAUUGGGACUGAGACACGGCCCAAACUCCUACGGGAGGCAGCAGUAGGGAAUCUUCCGCAAUGGACGCAAGUCUGACGGAGCAACGCCGCGUGAGUGAAGAAGGUUUUCGGAUCGUAAAACUCUGUUGUUAGAGAAGAACAAGUGCUAGAGUAACUGUUAGCGCCUUGACGGUAUCUAACCAGAAAGCCACGGCUAACUACGUG